Molecule: non-coding RNA, 165 nt
Filed under: bovine gut metagenome
Also listed under: 1 other name
Description: Lysine riboswitch
Rfam family: Lysine riboswitch aptamer
About the family: Riboswitches are metabolite binding domains within certain messenger RNAs that serve as precision sensors for their corresponding targets.
Source: RNAcentral
ACGAUAGAGGUCGCGAAAGAUAUAACUACCGGAGCGGAGGCAGGCAGGUGCCGGUGAAGCCCCGGGAAAGGAUCUUUCGCCGAAAUCUCCCGUAUCUUUGCACUGCGGGAGGUUGGGGCGCGGCAGAAAAUGUCGCGAACUGUCACUUUAUGUGGAGAGCUAUCU